RNAcentral lists this long non-coding RNA (2646 nucleotides) under Parus major (Great Tit). RNAcentral's name for it is "lncRNA (ENSPMJG00000010421.1)". The record is from RNAcentral. Lineage: Eukaryota; Metazoa; Chordata; Aves; Passeriformes; Paridae.
GGCCUUUCCAGUUUGAUUAAGUCUGUAAUUAAUAAUGACCAGGUGAGGCAGGGAAGUUAUUUUUCUAUAGGUUUUUUUCUGUCCCAUGAAUGCUGAGAAAGAAUGCAAGGAAGGCACUUAAUUGUGAGAACACUUUCCUGUUGGUAUAAUUCCUAAAAUCUGGCCAUGUUUUAAACUCCUGUGAGGAGCAAAAUUUCAUUAUUUCUCCUCUAGAGUAUUUUUGCCUUGGUCCUGCUCAGCCACAGGAGGGAAAAUGACAAUGCUAAUGCUGUGCCCUGUUUUGUUUUUUCUGAUUUCUUUUUUUUUUUUUUUUACUUCUUUUUGAAGCAAACAACCCAGGGCAAAACAUGGUUGUGAAGGUUUGCAGCUACACUUGGAGCUGGAGAAAGCCAGUGCAGUAGUGCUGUGAGCUCAGCCAUGUGGAUUCAGCAUUGAGGGGAGAAGGGAUGCACAUUCAAGAAUGCCUACAGAUACAGUUCUGUCUACACCUCACCACAGGUACUUUUACAAAGCUUCUCUUUGUCCCUGUGUGCCCUUUGUCUUUUGACUGUUUGCCUGAAUCUGUAUCUUCUUUCUUGACCUGUUUAUUUGGGAGUUCUCUGAGGCAAGAGCCUCAUGCAGCACCUAGAUAAUGCUCACAGUAAAGCUCAUUCUCAGUACAUCCAACAGCACAUGGUUUUUCCUAGGAAGAGUGAGUCCUUUCCUUAAGAGAGGAGUUAGAUUGGUCUUUUAUGAGAUUAGUCUUUUAUCUUAGUAAUGAACUGGGUAUGUUAUUAGAGCUCUGGCAUCAAACCAGGGCUCCCUUUACAUGAGUUUUCACCUAGAAAGGGGUGUCAAGCUUAUGGUUAGGACAGGCCUGCAGGCUCUCCCCUUUGCCUCACACCUGUCCACACCUCUUUGUCCAAAAACCUCGAGGCUGUUGGACCAUAUGCAAAAUGCAGUUUUUGUGGGCUUGUUCUCCUGAAUUCUGUGGUGUUAUGAUUGGCUGUGUUGUGGAGAUUGAGAGUAGAAUUAUUCUGGUGCUGAUUCCUGACCCACUGAGACCCAGUGGGGACAUUUUCAUUUGAUUUACAUGAUCCACUGACAAGUAUUAUGGUGGUAUGUUGUUGCUUUCCAGGAAACAGGAUGAAGGAGAAGAAAAAGACUGGAAGAAGUGGUUGGACUCAAGGGUCAUAAGGGUUUUCUCCAACCUAAAUGGUUCCCUUUAGUGAAACCUUGAAAGGCUUUUUGUGUAUUAGCAAAGAAACUGGGUUCCAAUAAGACCAAGACAACCUUUGCCACUUUUUCAAGAUGUCUUGAAGCACAUAUAAAAUUCAACUUCACAUCAGUUUAAAUAUGCUUUUAUACUACUAGACUCCACUUUAAGUCAAAAGCAACUCUUGGGUGAAGUUGGAUUUAAUGUAAAGAAUAGCAUUAUGUCAUCACAUAGGAAAGUGCUUCUUAACCACCAAAAUAUAUUUAAAAUACUUUUCUGAGUAGAUUUGUUGCUAAUUAUACUAUAUAAAUUUAAGAGUGGAAACUUGGUUUCUCCAUCAUCAUGGCUUGCAUGUCUAAUAUUUUGCACUGAGCUUUGAGUGCAGCUGUAGUGCAGCUCUCCCUGGAAAUCUGUUUUUUAUCUAACCCCAUUUUCUAGUUAAACAUUUCAAAUGAAAUAUACUGAGCAAGAAAAAGAGGACUACUUUGUUUGGAGUAUUCUAUGGGCAGAAGAUUGCCUGAGGACUUCCUUAUUGACUGUACCUUAUCUUGCUGUGUAUCCAGUAACAGAUUGAGUUGGAGUGUAGGUACCUCAACCUCUGUUUAAUUUUCUCUUUCUUUUUUUUUUUUUUUCAUCUCCAGCUACAUGGAUUAGAGCUAUAAAGAUGUUGGUCUAAGUCACAAGAGUUUUGGAGACUGGAAAUACUUGAUUUCAGUAGUUGAAUUUAAAGUUAUCUGAAGGUAAAUAUCUCUUAUCUAGAAGGUCUGUAAAUUGUGUAUUCAUCUGAUUUCCUUUCCUUACUGGUUAUCAUUUUCCUUUGGUGAGUGGUUCAUUUGGCUUCCUAAGCAGAACUAGACAAACUCCUAAAUCACUCCAUGCUCUCAGUGAGCUGUGUCACCUUUCCUUUUUAUUUUCCUUUAUCAUUCUUUUCAUGCUUCCGGAACAAUUGAGCUGAAGUAUUGUGAAAGAUUUCCUAUCAUCUUCUGUGUGCCUGUCUCAAACUUCAUACCUUAAAAUUCGGUGUGUUUGAUAUUCAGCUACCGUCUCUCUAAUAUUGCAUGCAUGGGGAGUUGGGAUUUCUAACAUGACUGCAAACAUUACCUUUCCAAUGAUACCUUGUGUUGGAUUAAAAGGUGCAAACACUGGAAUUGUGAAUACUGGAGUUAUGUGCCCUUACCAGUCUGGGGACCUGUAACCUGCUGCUGGAAGUUCUUAUUCAGGUUUCCCAAACGUAAUACCUUGCUGGAAUUCUCUGAUAAAUGGCUAUUGUGUGCUGCUAAAUAGUUUGUGUAGAGCCCAAAGCUGACUAAAUUUCAAUGAUAGUCCCAGUUUUCAAAACGAAUGUGAGUUAUGGAUACUGUAUGGGCUUUUUUGCAAGUACCGUAUGUGAAUAUUUGUUCUAAUACUAAGUAAUUAUAGCAAUAAAUGUCAUUAAUAUAUUAGUUAAUUCA